UACAGAGGUCUCAAGCGUUGUUCGGAUUCAUUGGGCGUAAAGGGUGCGUAGGUGGCGCUGUAAGUCAGGUGUGAAAUUUCGGAGCUCAACUUCGAAACUGCAUUUGAUACUGCGGUGCUUGAGGACUGGAGAGGAGACUGGAAUUUACGGUGUAGCAGUGAAAUGCGCAGAGAUCGUAAGGAAGACCAGUGGCGAAGGCGGGUCUCUGGACAGUUCCUGACACUGAGGCACGAAGGCCAGGGGAGCAAACGGG
RNAcentral lists this ribosomal RNA (253 nucleotides) under uncultured bacterium. Its description in RNAcentral is "partial 16S ribosomal RNA". It matches the Rfam family "Bacterial small subunit ribosomal RNA", at positions 524 to 776 of the family's 1533-position model. The record is from RNAcentral.